GCAUAGGUAGCUUAAAAACAAAGCGUCGGCCUUGUAAGCCGAAUAUUGGUGGUUUAAGUCCCCCCUUCUGCU
This 72-nucleotide transfer RNA is filed under the name Bertella idiomorpha. RNAcentral describes it as "tRNA-Thr". It matches the Rfam family "tRNA". Rfam says of the family: Transfer RNA (tRNA) molecules are approximately 80 nucleotides in length. Their secondary structure includes four short double-helical elements and three loops (D, anti-codon, and T loops). Lineage: Eukaryota; Metazoa; Chordata; Actinopteri; Lophiiformes; Oneirodidae. The record is from RNAcentral.